GAUGAACGCUGGCGGCGUGCCUAACACAUGCAAGUCGAGCGAACGGACUAGAAGCUUGCUUCCCUGAUGUUAGCGGCGGACGGGGGAGUAAAACGUGGAGAACCUACCUAUAAGACUGGGUUAACCUCGGGAAUACGCAGCUAAUACGGCAAAAUAUUUUGAACCACAUGGUUUAAAAGUGAAAGAAUGUCUUCAUAUAACUAAUAGAUGAAUCUGCGCUCCAUUAGCUUGAUGGUAAGGUAAGGGCGUAACAAGGCAACGUUGCAUAGCAGCCUUGCGAGGGAGAUAGGCCUCACUGGAACUGGAACGCGGUCCAGACUCCUACGGGAGGGAGCAGUAGCAAACCUUUCGCGAUGGGAGAAGUCCUGAAGGAGGAACAACGCGUGAAUGAUGAAGGCCGUCGGGUCGUGAGACUCAGUUAUUAGGGAAGAUCAUAUGUGUAUUUGACUGUGCACAUAUUGACGGUACCAUACCAGAAAGCCACGGCUAACUACGUG
RNAcentral lists this ribosomal RNA (497 nucleotides) under uncultured bacterium. RNAcentral's name for it is "partial 16S ribosomal RNA". It matches the Rfam family "Bacterial small subunit ribosomal RNA", at positions 28 to 507 of the family's 1533-position model. The record is from RNAcentral.